This 315-nucleotide ribosomal RNA is filed under the name uncultured bacterium. Its description in RNAcentral is "bacterial SSU rRNA". It matches the Rfam family "Bacterial small subunit ribosomal RNA", at positions 9 to 318 of the family's 1533-position model. The record is from RNAcentral.
GAGUUUGAUCAUGGCUCAGGAUGAACGCUAGCGACAGGCCUAACACAUGCAAGUCGAGGGGCAGCACGGUGUAGCAAUACACGGGUGGCGACCGGCGCACGGGUGAGUAACGCGUAUGCAACCUGCCUACUACAAGGGGAUAACCCGUUGAAAGACGGACUAAUACCCUAUAACACAGGGAAUCCGCAUGGAUAUAUUUGUUAAAGAUUUAUCGGUAGCAGAUGGGCAUGCGUUCCAUUAGCUUGUUGGUGAGGUAACGGCUCACCAAGGCAACGAUGGAUAGGGGAACUGAGAGGUUGAUCCCCCAGAGUGGAA